RNAcentral lists this transfer RNA (69 nucleotides) under Sarcophilus harrisii (Tasmanian devil). It matches the Rfam family "tRNA". From Rfam's summary of the family: Transfer RNA (tRNA) molecules are approximately 80 nucleotides in length. Lineage: Eukaryota; Metazoa; Chordata; Mammalia; Dasyuromorphia; Dasyuridae. The record is from Rfam by way of RNAcentral.
GAGAAUUUAGCUUAAUUAAAGUGUUUGAUUUGCAUUUGAGUGAUUCAAGGUAAAGUCUUGUAGUUCUUA